GACGAACGCUGGCGGCGUGCUUAACACAUGCCAGUCGAACGGAAAGGCCCUGCUUUUGUGGGGUGCUCGAGUGGCGAACGGGUGAGUAACACGUGAGUAACCUGCCCUUGACUUUGGGAUAACUUCAGGAAACUGGGGCUAAUACCGGAUAGGAGCUCCUGCUGCAUGGUGGGGGUUGGAAAGUUUCGGCGGUUGGGGAUGGACUCGCGGCUUAUCAGCUUGUUGGUGGGGUAGUGGCUUACCAAGGCUUUGACGGGUAGCCGGCCUGAGAGGGUGACCGGCAACUUGGGGACUGGGAUAGGGCCCGAACUCCAACGGGGGGCAGCGUGGGGGAAUAUUGCACAAUGGGCGGAAGCCUGAUGCAGCAACGCCGCGUGCGGGAUGACGGCCUUCGGGUUGUAAACCGCUUUCGCCUGUGACGAAGCGUGAGUGACGGUAAUGGGUAAAGAAGCACCGGCUAACUACGUG
RNAcentral lists this ribosomal RNA (468 nucleotides) under uncultured bacterium. RNAcentral describes it as "partial 16S ribosomal RNA". It matches the Rfam family "Bacterial small subunit ribosomal RNA", at positions 28 to 507 of the family's 1533-position model. The record is from RNAcentral.